CGCUUCUCCAUGACGUUGGUUCCUCUACACCCCGUCGUCUUCGCUCUGCUCUGCCCGUGGCGGCUGCCAUGUCCACUCUUGUGACGUGCCGAUAUGGUGGCGCUGUGGCCGGGUGUGAUCUGGAGAACCAGCGGGCGGUGGUGCACGGCCUGGGCGGCGGCGACCUGCGCGACCCCGGUGCUGCACGGACGCCUCCUUCCCCGUCGCAUUGAUCCAAGGCGGCUCUCUCCUAGCCAACCUCCAGCGACAAGAAGAUGGUAGAUGGGUCAUGGGAGAUGGGGCCACUCGACUCAGCCAAGGCAUCGGAGGACCAAAUCUGGACCGAAGCAGUUCACCAGCACGGGCGACUGAGAGAUUGGACGAGGAAGCCGAGCCGUUCGCGAGGCUAUCGACUCGCCCUUCGCUCGUGGGGCAGAGAAUAACCAGGAGGUGGAGCGGUCCACGGCGUCGUCGCCCUCGCCUUCGAGCCAUCCAUGACGUCGUCGCCAUCACCUAGCCACUCACCGCACAGGACGCAGAGAUGGGCGAGGACGCCUGUGGGAAGCAGCAGCGGCUCGAUGAUGACAGGAAGCAACAGUUCGCUCAUUCCUAGGUAUGUGAACCCUCUUGUCAUCUACAUGGAUAGCUUUCUGUAAUUGUGGCAAGGUGCAGAGAUGGUUGUACAGUCGGUUAUCCUGUCAUUGAAACCAUUCAUAAGGAUAACAUCUGUCAUGUCGUUGAAGCUCCUGCUGAGAUACCUGAGAAAAUGAAGAAGUUAGCUACCAAUGUAGCUGAAAAAAACUAUCAAAUCAUUAGAAGGUGUUGGUGUUUUUGUUGCCGGACUAUCUUUAGCAAAUGCCAAUCCAGUUUGUUCGAACAUUUAUGCAUGUCUUAUAUAAUUGAAUCCUCCUAUGUUGAUGUUGGAUCUUUCUCUCAUUGAUAAUUUCACUAGGUUUUAUCCAACGAAGUAGCCCCUAGGGCUCACAUUAGUGGACACCAUAUAAUCCAGACAUGGCACUCUUCACAAUACGAGCAACAUCUACGUGCUAUUCUUGGACUUCCUGUUGGUAACCCUGUAAUUAAAGCACCCGCAGCCAUAAUGAACAAAAUCCUGGGCUAUGAUGAGGUAUGUAUAUAUUUGAUUUUGUGUUGAUUUGCCCUCCAUGUUUUGCUAUGUUAAACAUUGAUAGUUAGGUCAAUAUUUGCUUUAUUAUUUAGUAACUCAUUAUUUUUGUAGGCCACCAUGUUAUUAUACUGGUUACCAAUUGGUACAAUGCAAUUUGGGAUUUUUUUUUGGGCCCAUUAGCUGAUUAAGAGGGCGCUAAAUAUUUCAGGUGCAUCAGUCUAUUGGCAUGCAAAGGCAGGUUCUGCCCACACACAUAGAUGUUUGUUGCAGAAAGGUUAUAAUUCUGCUUAUUGCAUUCUUGUGCCAUUGAGUAUUAUUUAAAGAAUUGUUCUUCCACAUAUUUGGAAGCAAAGUAAGAUGGGUCAUAUUACAAUUGUGGGGCGUUAAUUAUGUGUUCAGUGUAAAAGCACAUUUGGACAAGUACACAAGAAUUUGUUGUUAGGGUCUACCGACAAAACAUGUAGAUCUGACACAUAAAGGCACCUUGCCUUGUAUCAUGCAUUCCGCCCCAUAGACAUGUUCUUUAUCAGAUCUGAUGGUUCUCUGGUGGUUACAUGCCGACUGAAUCGAAUUGGGUUGGAUGCUCAGGUUUCUUGUCAACCAUUUAAUUUUAAGCAUUAUCUUUCAUGUCAUAGGCUAUUAUGUGCCAAUCCCUAAUAAAGGAAUCUGGUCCAGAAUUCUGUGGUGUACAAUAUCUCAAAAACUCUUUGGAAUUGGUAGGUAAAAAUUGAUUUGUUGUGAGCAGAAAGGAUCUUGAUAUGGUGCUUAAAAGCACUAACCCCGUCCUUAUUGUUCACAUACAGAUUUUUAUAUUUAUUUUAAUCGAUUCACUUUCGUCGGCAUUUUAGCGUGUGUUCCUUUUCAUGGCCAGCUUUACCAUUUGCUCUAGAAGGAGUUUUUCAACUCGGA
Molecule: long non-coding RNA, 2014 nt
Organism: Triticum aestivum (bread wheat)
Lineage: Eukaryota; Viridiplantae; Streptophyta; Magnoliopsida; Poales; Poaceae
Exons: 5
Source: RefSeq, a predicted model, not a curated record